GAUGAACGCUGGCGGCGUGCCUAAUACAUGCAAGUCGAGCGAACGGACGAGAAGCUUGCUUUUCUGAUGUUAGCGGCGGACGGGUGAGUAACACGUGGAUAACCUACCUAUAAGACUGGGAUAACUUCGGGAAACCGGAGCUAAUACCGGAUAAUAUUUUGAACCGCAUGGUUCAAAAGUGAAAGACGGUCUUGCUGUCACUUAUAGAUGGAUCCGCGCUGCAUUAGCUAGUUGGUAAGGUAACGGCUUACCAAGGCAACGAUGCAUAGCCGACCUGAGAGAGUGAUCGGCCACACUGGAACUGAGACACGGUCCAGACUCCUACGGGAGGCAGCAGUAGGGAAUCUUCCGCAAUGGGCGAAAGCCUGACGGAGCAACGCCGCGUGAGUGAUGAAGGUCUUCGGAUCGUAAAACUCUGUUAUUAGGGAAGAACAGAUGUGUAAGUAACUGUGCACAUCUUGACGGUACCUAAUCAGAAAGCCACGGCUAACUACGUG
RNAcentral lists this ribosomal RNA (497 nucleotides) under uncultured bacterium. RNAcentral's name for it is "partial 16S ribosomal RNA". It matches the Rfam family "Bacterial small subunit ribosomal RNA", at positions 28 to 507 of the family's 1533-position model. The record is from RNAcentral.